RNAcentral lists this ribosomal RNA (450 nucleotides) under uncultured bacterium. RNAcentral's name for it is "partial 16S ribosomal RNA". It matches the Rfam family "Bacterial small subunit ribosomal RNA", at positions 354 to 796 of the family's 1533-position model. The record is from RNAcentral.
GUGGGGAAUAUUGGACAAUGGGCGAAAGCCUGAUCCAGCCAUGCCGCGUGUGUGAAGAAGGUCUUCGGAUUGUAAAGCACUUUAAGUUGGGAGGAAGGGCAUUAACCUAAUACGUUAGUGUUUUGACGUUACCGACAGAAUAAGCACCGGCUAACUUCGUGCCAGCAGCCGCGGUAAUACGAAGGGUGCAAGCGUUAAUCGGAAUUACUGGGCGUAAAGCGCGCGUAGGUGGUUCGUUAAGUUGGAUGUGAAAGCCCCGGGCUCAACCUGGGAACUGCAUCCAAAACUGGCGAGCUAGAGUACGGUAGAGUGUGGUGGAAUUUCCUGUGUAGCGGUGAAAUGCGUAGAUAUAGGAAGGAACACCAGUGGCGAAGGCGACCACCUGGACUGAUACUGACACUGAGGUGCGAAAGCGUGGGGAGCAAACAGGAUUAGAAACCCGAGUAGUCC